UACGUAGGCAGCGAGCGUUGUUCGGAAUUACUGGGCGUAAAGGGCGCGUAGGCGGCCUUCUAAGUCGAACGUGAAAUCCCCGGGCUCAACCCGGGAACUGCGUCCGAUACUGGAAGGCUUGAAUCCGGGAGAGGGAUGUGGAAUUCCAGGUGUAGCGGUGAAAUGCGUAGAUAUCUGGAGGAACACCGGUGGCGAAGGCGACAUCCUGGACCGGUAUUGACGCUGAGGCGCGAAAGCCAGGGGAGCAAACGGG
RNAcentral lists this ribosomal RNA (253 nucleotides) under uncultured bacterium. RNAcentral describes it as "partial 16S ribosomal RNA". It matches the Rfam family "Bacterial small subunit ribosomal RNA", at positions 524 to 776 of the family's 1533-position model. The record is from RNAcentral.